UACAGAGGUCCCGAGCGUUGUUCGGAUUCAUUGGGCGUAAAGGGUGCGUAGGUGGCGCCGUAAGUGGGGUGUGAAAUCCCGGGGCUUAACCCCGGGACUGCAUUCCAUACUGCGGUGCUUGAGGACUGGAGAGGAGACUGGAAUUUACGGUGUAGCAGUGAAAUGCGUAGAGAUCAUGAGGAAGACCAGUGGCGAAGGCGGGUCUCUGGACAGUUCCUGACACUGAGACACGAAGGCCAGGGGAGCAAACGGG
This 253-nucleotide ribosomal RNA is filed under the name uncultured bacterium. RNAcentral describes it as "partial 16S ribosomal RNA". It matches the Rfam family "Bacterial small subunit ribosomal RNA", at positions 524 to 776 of the family's 1533-position model. The record is from RNAcentral.